GACGAACGCUGGCGGCGUGCUUAACACAUGCAAGUCGAACGGAAAGGCCCUGCUUUUGUGGGGUGCUCGAGUGGCGAACGGGUGAGUAACACGUGAGUAACCUGCCCUUGACUUUGGGAUAACUUCAGGAAACUGGGGCUAAUACCGGAUAGGAGCUCCUGCUGCAUGGUGGGGGUUGGAAAGUUUCGGCGGUUGGGGAUGGACUCGCGGCUUAUCAGCUUGUUGGUGGGGUAGUGGCUUACCAAGGCUUUGACGGGUAGCCGGCCUGAGAGGGUGACCGGCCACAUUGGGACUGAGAUACGACCCAGACUCCUACGGGAGGCAGCAGUGGGGUAUAUUGCACAAUGGGCGGAAGCCUGAUGCAGCAACGCCGCGUGCGGGAUGACGGCCUUCGGGUUGUAAACCGCUUUCGCCUGUGACGAAGCGUGAGUGACGGUAAUGGGUAAAGAAGCACCGGCUAACUACGUG
This 468-nucleotide ribosomal RNA is filed under the name uncultured bacterium. RNAcentral's name for it is "partial 16S ribosomal RNA". It matches the Rfam family "Bacterial small subunit ribosomal RNA", at positions 28 to 507 of the family's 1533-position model. The record is from RNAcentral.